GAUGAACGCUGGCGGCGUGCCUAAUACAUGCAAGUCGAGCGAACAGACGAGGAGCUUGCUCCUCUGACGUUAGCGGCGGACGGGUGAGUAACACGUGGAUAACCUACCUAUAAGACUGGGAUAACUUCGGGAAACCGGAGCUCAUACCGGAUAAUAUAUUUAACCGCAUGGUUCAAUAUUGAAAGACGGUUUUGCUGUCACUUAUAGAUGUAUCCGCGCCGCAUUAGCUAGUUGGUAAGGUAACGGCUUACCAAGGCAACGAUGCGUAGCCGACCUGAGAGGGUGAUCGGCCACACUGGAACUGAGACACGGUCCAGACUCCUACGGGAGGCAGCAGUAGGGAAUCUUCCGCAAUGGGCGAAAGCCUGACGGAGCAACGCCGCGUGAGUGAUGAAGGUCUUCGGAUCGUAAAACUCUGUUAUUAGGGAAGAACAAAUGUGUAAGUAACUAUGCACGUCUUGACGGUACCUAAUCAGAAAGCCACGGCUAACUACGUG
Molecule: ribosomal RNA, 497 nt
Filed under: uncultured bacterium
Lineage: Bacteria
Description: partial 16S ribosomal RNA
Rfam family: Bacterial small subunit ribosomal RNA
Source: RNAcentral